RNAcentral lists this ribosomal RNA (464 nucleotides) under uncultured bacterium. Its description in RNAcentral is "partial 16S ribosomal RNA". It matches the Rfam family "Bacterial small subunit ribosomal RNA", at positions 338 to 795 of the family's 1533-position model. The record is from RNAcentral.
CCUAGGGGGGGCAGCAGUAGGGAAUGUUCGGCAAUGGGGGGAACCCUGACCGAGCAACGCCGCGUGAAGGAAGAAGGAAUUCGGUCUGGAAACGUCUGUUAUAAAGGAAGAAAGACGGAGGGAGGAAAUGACAUCCGAGUGACGGUACUGUAGGAGAAAGCCACGGCUAACUACGUGCCAGCAGCCGCGGUAAGACGUAGGUGGCAAGCGUUAUCCGGAUUUAUUGGGCGUAAAGAGGGAGCAGGCGGCAGCAAAGGUCUGUGGUAAAAGACUGAAGCUGAACUUCAGGCGGCCGUCGAAACCGGGCAGCUAGAGUGCAGGAGAGGAUCGUGGAAUUCCCUGUGUAGCGGUGAAAUGCGUAGAUAUAUGGAGGAACACCAGUGGCGAAGGCGACGCUCUGGCCUGCAACUGACGCUCAGUCCCGAAAGCGUGGGGAGCAAAUAGGAUUAGAUACCCCAGUAGUC